GGGAAUAUUUUACUGGUAGAUGGAAAUGCAUGCGGAGAGAUAAAGAUCACAGAUUUCGGACUGUCUAAAAUCAUGGACGAUGACAACUAUGGAGUAGAUGGGAUGGACCUGACAUCGCAAGGGGCAGGCACUUACUGGUACUUACCCCCGGAGUGUUUUGUGGUGGG
Long non-coding RNA from Sinocyclocheilus rhinocerous, 167 nucleotides. RefSeq lists it as uncharacterized. The transcript is spliced from 2 exons. The record is from RefSeq and is a predicted model, not a curated record. Lineage: Eukaryota; Metazoa; Chordata; Actinopteri; Cypriniformes; Cyprinidae.